This 3298-nucleotide unclassified non-coding RNA is filed under the name Nilaparvata lugens (brown planthopper). RNAcentral describes it as "protein broad-minded, transcript variant X2". The record is from RNAcentral. Lineage: Eukaryota; Metazoa; Arthropoda; Insecta; Hemiptera; Delphacidae.
GCUUGUUUAUUUUAACCUAAAAAGAGAGAACAUCGAUAUUCUGACAGUAUUUUCAUUAUCUUUUAUUUUUUAUUGUAGUAUUGAAUUGGUGAUUGAUAGAUUGAUACCUCAAACUUCUCUAUUUACUUGUUACACGCAGUCCUUGGACUAAAUCUUUUCAUCUUUCAAGUGAUUUUCAGUAGCCUAGCUGAUUUAUAGCACAAAAUGGAUAAUCAGGUUGAUAUUGACAAUCUAUGUGAAGGAAUGAAAGAAAUGUUUAUAAAUCAUGCACUUGGUCGACAAUUUAAAAAUACUUUGGACGUUGAUGAAGUAAGUAAUAAUUCAAAUUUAGCUAUGAAGGUGCAAAGUUUUAUUGAUUCUUCAUUAACAAAUAACAUAAACAACGAAUUGCAAAGUUUAAGAGAAGUCGAUCCUAAUAAUUGGCAAAUGUAUGCCAGUAGAAUAGCCAGAUCUAUUUUGGAAUCUUCUCAAAUGUCUUGUACUCAAGAGAAUUUAAAUAAUAUGCUUGAGACAUGUACCCAAGAAUUAAUCACUAGAUUUUCACAUCAUUUUGAAAACUUUGAUUUUUCAAGUAAUGCAAACCAACCAAAUUUGCUGCCUAUCGAUACUGGAAAGGACGCAACAAAAUGUUUAUCUGAACAAGCUGAAUUGAAUUCGCUUCUACGACCUCACAAUUUUGCUGAAUUGGCUCAAAAUAUGUCGUUAAAGAAACCGCUGUAUGUAAGGGUGCAAUCACUUAACAUGCUACUUUCAUCACAGAUACCAGAUGCAAUAUCGAGUGCUCACUGGGAAAACAUUCAAAAAUGUCUGCAGAUUGCUCUGUGCGAUGAGAGUUUUGAAGUUUUCCAACUUGGCCUGCAAAUGCAUGCAAAACUUGUACAAAGUAGCAUUCCUGAAGCUACUAAGGAGAGUUUUCUAAAUAUUCUUGAGAGCUUGUGUCAACACCACCACCUUCGAAAGUCAGACUUUCAAGAAAUUCUAUUCCAAGUCCCAUCUCACUUUCGGAUGAUUAGAAUGUGCUCUCUACUACUAAUUAUCAUCAAAGACCUAACUCUUAAUUUGCCUCGAUUUGGAGAAAAACGACUCAUGGAUAUGAUAGAGAACUUUGUGCAUUUGCUGACAAUUCAGGGGAAUAAUACCUCAAAUGUAUCACCGUACAAUAUACUUGCCUGUUUGGAUCCUGAUGCAAACUGGAUUGACAGCUUUAUUCAAUCAGCGUCUAGUCGUAGACUACUGUUAGGAAAAUUGUCAGAAAACAAUUCUUUCAUUUCUAUUUCAGUACAGGACACAAUGGAAUGGCUGAAAAAUCCUUUCCUUCCAACUGAAGAAAGUGGAUUGCUCAAUGAUUUCUUUCAAGGAAAAAUCACAAAAAAUGUUGUACGAUUUUCUAACUUUCUACACGGAUUAUCACUGAUUUCAAAAAUAUGCUCGUUUGAAAGUGGUGUUACAAUGUUUCCAGUAGUUUUGAACAAGUCCGAAACUGUACGUUUACAAGACAUAACUCAGAUGAUAUUACAUUUUUUGAAUGAGCAACAAUCGAUCGAAGAAAGAAUGGAAGUUGUAUUCUCGGACUCGCUAACCAAACUUCUGGCUUCUGCAGCUUUGAGCUUGAUGAGGAUAAAAGAAAAUCAAAAUUGUCAACUUUUACAAAUUCUUCUCGAACCACUUGCUAGGAACCCCAUUUCUCCAUUGCAUCAUACAGUAUUGUUACUAGAUAUGCUGGCCAAACUACCAGAGGGCCCCCAAAAUUGUUUCUUCAGGUACAGUGCACACAAUCGUAAGAAGAUUAUUAUUGUCCCGCCGCCAUCCUCGGAACUUAAUCAGAAAAGAUCCAUCUCGAAAGAAGUGAAAGCAAUGCAUGAACGACAAAAUUCAUCCAAUUCCUCGUUUUGUCCUACGAAAAUAUUCAUCAACUGCAUAAUAAAACUACUAAAUAAUAGAGAUCUAAGGAACAUGGCGUUGACGGCCAAAUUGCUUGAUGUUGGAGCGAAUAUAUUUUGCCUUCAUGAGGGAAUUGCAAUACUUGAGUUGAACAGGAAUCAGCUGUUGAGUGUGGCCCUGAGUGUCCAUGAAGAAUUAACUGAAUUGAGUCGAACGCAAGGUGGUGACAACAUACUUGUAGAACGCAAUUGCUAUCUCCUCUACAGUUCUUUGCAGAACUUCAUAGUGAAAGUGGGCACGACUCCUCUGGGCUUUUCGCUGCUAAUGCGUGCGAGUCCGACAUCGUUAGCAGGUUGUCUGCUACACAGACUGGAGCAGCCUGACACACCGUGGCUGCAGCCUGAUUGGCGCAUCUUCGUCACGUUUGCUGCCGCCACCCGAAAUGGCGGCCAAGUGAUUGGCCAGCGAGCAGCGGCACUGGCCAAGAGCCAACUGCUUGACUUGUGGGCCGCCCUGGAGCUCGAAACUGACUCGACCAUUGAUAUCGACGAGUGCAGACAACACCUGCUCACUGUCAUGGCAACCUGUGGCUCCAGCUUACAAGGAACUACUUCUCGCGCAACAAAAGUUGAACCGUGUCGACGAGAGCUCAGACACUGUGAUAGUAGACGAAUGCAGCCUGCUUAGACACGAGAUACUGGAGAGGUCACAUGUUGCCGGACGGCCGGGCGUGGAUGGCAAACUCUAUUUUGCGUUUCCGUCGUUGUCGACUGCAUCGGCUGAGCGACGCCAGCGCCCCCGCACUGCCAAACAUGGCGGCGGCGGUGAGUUGAGUCGCUUCCUCCAGGAGACCAGGAGUGGACUGCAUGACACCGCUUGGCUUAAACAGGCCAGGAAGGCUUACAGGGCGGGCUGUGCGGCUGGUGACGAAAUCAAGUGUGGCCUGUUUGUGGAUUUGGUGUCUCUCGUACCAAAAGCUGUGGUAGGUGAUAGGCCUACUAUUGACAGCCUCAAAUGGCCAACUAUAGAUCAGGUUGAAACAGUCAAUCUCCUGCCAGAGGAAGAAAUUGGUGUCCAGAUGGCUGUCAGGUAUGGAUUACACCAUAGAGCUUUGCAACCGUCUCAACAUAAUGCCGAAAAUCUUAUGUUGAUGCUUCGUAUGGUUAAACUUAUGUUUGGUAGAGAUGAACAAGAAACUUUCACUGGGUUCGAUUGGUUUCUAUCAACCAUUUUUCUCAUCAGUGGUGGAAAUGUUGAAAGAUGCCAAAAUAUUUUGUCCGUUCUGGUGACGCUGUCAUGCAUAAUAUUUAUCUGGCCAAGCUAUGCACAAUUCCAAGGUCACAGCACAGAUGCGUUCGGUCAUCUCCUGGAAUCGAUGGUUGCUCAUGAAGUGCCAUUUGCUUUCAAUGCACUUCGA